UGGGGAAUUUUGGACAAUGGGGGAAACCCUGAUCCAGCCAUCCCGCGUGUGCGAUGAAGGCCUUCGGGUUGUAAAGCACUUUUGGCAGGAAAGAAACGUCAUGGGUUAAUACCCCGUGAAACUGACGGUACCUGCAGAAUAAGCACCGGCUAACUACGUGCCAGCAGCCGCGGUAAUACGUAGGGUGCAAGCGUUAAUCGGAAUUACUGGGCGUAAAGCGUGCGCUGGCGGUUCGGAAAGAAAGAUGUGAAAUCCCAGAGCUCAACUUUGGAACUGCAUUUUUAACUACCGGGCUAGAGUGUGUCAGAGGGAGGUGGAAUUCCGCGUGUAGCAGUGAAAUGCGUAGAUAUGCGGAGGAACACCGGUGGCGAAGGCAGCCUCCUGGGAUAACACUGACGCUCAUGCACGAAAGCGUGGGGAGCAAACAGG
RNAcentral lists this ribosomal RNA (429 nucleotides) under Acidobacteriota bacterium. Its description in RNAcentral is "Acidobacteria bacterium partial 16S ribosomal RNA". It matches the Rfam family "Bacterial small subunit ribosomal RNA", at positions 355 to 776 of the family's 1533-position model. The record is from RNAcentral. Lineage: Bacteria; Pseudomonadati; Acidobacteriota.